UGUUUGCUGUGUUUUCAAUAAGCACUGGAGACCAACAUGCGCCUGGCACCUGGCCUUCAGUGGGUUCGUGACAACAUAGCGGCCUUUAGCGGAGACCCAAAUUCAGUCACUAUCUCCGGACAAUCUGCAGGUGGCAUCAGUGUCUCUAUGUUGGCUUCUGCCAGCUGGACAUCCUGAUGUAUUUACGUUUAAGGCAUUUUUGGGUCCAGCUAUUGACGGAGUGUUCCUGAAAGGCCCACCUGAAGACGUUUAAAGGACAAAGAAUUCCAGAAAGUUCCUAAGCUGAUCGGAGUGACCACUCAUGAGUUUGGAUGGAUGCUCCCACAGCUCCUCGGACCUACUGGAUGGGAUCAAGGUAUGAAGAGGGAAGAUGUGAUAUCAGUGAUGAACAUGUUCUUCCCCUCCCGUG
Long non-coding RNA from Cottoperca gobio, 409 nucleotides. RefSeq lists it as uncharacterized. The transcript is spliced from 4 exons. The record is from RefSeq and is a predicted model, not a curated record. Lineage: Eukaryota; Metazoa; Chordata; Actinopteri; Perciformes; Bovichtidae.